GGAUGUGAGGGCGAUCUGGCUGCGACAUCUGUCACCCCAUUGAUCGCCAGGGUUGAUUCGGCUGAUCUGGCUGGCUAGGCGGGUGUCCCCUUCCUCCCUCAACAAUCCAUGUGCGUCCCUCCCGAAGCUGCGCGCUCGGUCGAAGAGGACGACCACCCCCGAUAGAGGAGGACCGUUCCUCGGUCAAGGGUAUACGAGUAGCUGCGCUCCCCUGCUAGAACCUCCAAACAAGCUCUCAAAAUGUUUUACUUUCCCAGUCCCCAAAGUCUCACUUGAUAGAAUAGCUACACUACUUUUGUGGGGUAUACUUUUGU
This 314-nucleotide small nuclear RNA is filed under the name Octodon degus (degu). RNAcentral's name for it is "7SK RNA (ENSODEG00000022907.1)". It matches the Rfam family "7SK RNA". Rfam says of the family: 7SK was discovered as an abundant small nuclear RNA in the mid-70s but a possible function has only recently been suggested. Two independent studies have found that 7SK RNA binds the CDK9/cyclin T complex (known as elongation factor P-TEFb). The record is from Rfam by way of RNAcentral. Lineage: Eukaryota; Metazoa; Chordata; Mammalia; Rodentia; Octodontidae.